CUGAAGGCCUGUCAAAGCUGCUGCUGUCUGGUCGCGUGGUGUCCUCCAAGAUCUUGUUCGAUCUGAUAUAUCUGUGGUACAACCCGCUGUCGGAGGACGAGACACUACUGCGGGUCUGUCUGGGGACGUUCUUCCCUCUGUAUGCCUUUGCAUCCAGGUCCAACCAAGAGGUUGUGGAGAAGGCAAUUCUGCCGACCCUGAAGACCUUCCUUAAUGCCCCGCCCAUCAGCCCCCUGGCCGAGGUGGACGGAGCAACGUGGUCGAGAUACUCGUGCAGCUCACCAACACCAAACUGCUCACUGUGAAUCAGGCCAAGGAAAAUCUGAGCCAGGACAACCCAGGUCACGACAACCUCUUAGAGAGAGGUCUGCAACAUGAUCCUCUCGGCCCCGGACUCCGCCCACG
Dreissena polymorpha is the source of this 405-nucleotide long non-coding RNA. RefSeq lists it as uncharacterized. The transcript is spliced from 3 exons. The record is from RefSeq and is a predicted model, not a curated record. NCBI's taxonomy places the organism in Eukaryota, Metazoa, Mollusca, Bivalvia, Myida, Dreissenidae.